GCUAUCAUGCAGUAGAACGCUGAAGAGAGGAGCUUGCUCUUCUUGGAUGAGUUGCGAACGGGUGAGUAACGCGUAGGUAACCUGCCUUGUAGCGGGGGAUAACUAUUGGAAACGAUAGCUAAUACCGCAUAACAAUGGAUGACACAUGUCAUUUAUUUGAAAGGGGCAAUUGCUCCACUACAAGAUGGACCUGCGUUGUAUUAGCUAGUAGGUGAGGUAACGGCUCACCUAGGCGACGAUACAUAGCCGACCUGAGAGGGUGAUCGGCCACACUGGGACUGAGACACGGCCCAGACUCCUACGGGAGGCAGCAGUAGGGAAUCUUCGGCAAUGGGGGCAACCCUGACCGAGCAACGCCGCGUGAGUGAAGAAGGUUUUCGGAUCGUAAAGCUCUGUUGUAAGUCAAGAACGAGUGUGAGAGUGGAAAGUUCACACUGUGACGGUAGCUUACCAGAAAGGGACGGCUAACUACGUGCCAGCAGCCGCGGUAAUACGUAGGUCCCGAGCGUUGUCCGGAUUUAUUGGGCGUAAAGCGAGCGCAGGCGGUUUGAUAAGUCUGAAGUUAAAGGCUGUGGCUCAACCAUAGUUCGCUUUGGAAACUGUCAAACUUGAGUGCAGAAGGGGAGAGUGGAAUUCCAUGUGUAGCGGUGAAAUGCGUAGAUAUAUGGAGGAACACCGGUGGCGAAAGCGGCUCUCUGGUCUGUAACUGACGCUGAGGCUCGAAAGCGUGGGGAGCGAACAGGAUUAGAUACCCUGGUAGUCCACGCCGUAAACGAUGAGUGCUAGGUGUUGGAUCCUUUCCGGGAUUCAGUGCCGCAGCUAACGCAUUAAGCACUCCGCCUGGGGAGUACGACCGCAAGGUUGAAACUCAAAGGAAUUGACGGGGGCCCGCACAAGCGGUGGAGCAUGUGGUUUAAUUCGAAGCAACGCGAAGAACCUUACCAGGUCUUGACAUCCCGAUGCUAUUUCUAGAGAUAGAAAGUUACUUCGGUACAUCGGUGACAGGUGGUGCAUGGUUGUCGUCAGCUCGUGUCGUGAGAUGUUGGGUUAAGUCCCGCAACGAGCGCAACCCCUAUUGUUAGUUGCCAUCAUUCAGUUGGGCACUCUAGCGAGACUGCCGGUAAUAAACCGGAGGAAGGUGGGGAUGACGUCAAAUCAUCAUGCCCCUUAUGACCUGGGCUACACACGUGCUACAAUGGUUGGUACAACGAGUUGCGAGUCGGUGACGGCAAGCUAAUCUCUUAAAGCCAAUCUCAGUUCGGAUUGUAGGCUGCAACUCGCCUACAUGAAGUCGGAAUCGCUAGUAAUCGCGGAUCACACGCGCGG
Molecule: ribosomal RNA, 1326 nt
Filed under: Streptococcus salivarius
Lineage: Bacteria; Bacillati; Bacillota; Bacilli; Lactobacillales; Streptococcaceae
Description: bacterial SSU rRNA
Rfam family: Bacterial small subunit ribosomal RNA
Source: RNAcentral